RNAcentral lists this ribosomal RNA (392 nucleotides) under uncultured bacterium. Its description in RNAcentral is "bacterial SSU rRNA". It matches the Rfam family "Bacterial small subunit ribosomal RNA", at positions 355 to 764 of the family's 1533-position model. The record is from RNAcentral.
UCGGGAAUUUUGGGCAAUGGGCGAAAGCCUGACCCAGCAACGCCGCGUGAGGGAUGAAGUAUUUCGGUAUGUAAACCUCGAAAGAAUGGGAAGAAUAAAUGACGGUACCAUUUAUAAGCUCCGGCUAACUACGUGCCAGCAGCCGCGGUAAUACGUAGGGAGCAAGCGUUGUUCGGAUUUACUGGGCGUAAAGGGCGCGUAGGCGGCGCGGUAAGUCACUUGUGAAAUCUCUGAGCUUAACUCAGAACGGCCAAGUGAUACUGCUGUGCUAGAGUGCGGAAGAGGCAACCGGAAUUCUAGGCGUAGCGGUGAAAUGCGUAGAUAUCAAGAGGAACACCUGCGGCGAAGGCGGGUUGCUGGGCCAACACUGACGCUGAUGCGCGAAAGCCAGG